UUUUUUGGUGCGCUCGUGUCUGUGCAGGAUCCGCUCGUGCCCAAGGACUGGGCAGGGGAGGCGCUCCCGGCCUCGGACGAAGAGAAAGGUGCCCUGGGUUUCUCGGUCAGAUUUUUGAUUUCGCGGUAUUUGUUUGGUGUGCUGUGGACAUGUGGUUGACCUCUCUGCCGCUGGUUGGAUGUCUGUGUGGUGUUGUUUCAGGUUUUGCAGAGAGCACAUUGUCAAACGAGCAGGUUGGCAGAUGGUGAUGACACAGAUGAGGAGCUUAGGCGAGAGAACACUACUUCAGUUAAUACACUAUCCAGUACUGCUAGUUCUCAUCUCACUUGUUGUGCUUCUUGUACUGGGAGCACUCUUUGUUAUCCCAAGAUCUAACAUCAAAGGUAAAAUGGGUACAUCUCUUGUCUUGUUGUAUUUGCAAGUUUGAAACUGGAUUAGCAUCUUGGAGUAUUGUUGUACUCCAAUAGACUAAACAGUACGUACUCCAGUACUGAUAGUUAGAGUAGCAUCUUGGAGUAGGGUAGUCCACAUUUGUCUACCUUAGACCAGAUUAUUCCAAUUAGUCCACAUUUCAUAUUAUUCUUGGAGCACUGUACUAUAGCAGCAGUACUGUAUUGUAGCAGCAGCAUGAGUAAACUGAAUACUCCUUCAUA
Aegilops tauschii subsp. strangulata is the source of this 653-nucleotide non-coding RNA. NCBI's taxonomy places the organism in Eukaryota, Viridiplantae, Streptophyta, Magnoliopsida, Poales, Poaceae. The record is from RefSeq and is a predicted model, not a curated record.